AUACCAUGCUAAUGACUUUCUAGAGUAUCUAAUUGAGGUGCUUAUCAUAUUUAUUAUGUGGCUAAGUUAUGAUCAGAAUAAUUAUCUUUGUCACUAUUCAUUACUUCAUAUAUCUUUUAUGUGACACUUACCCCUGUAUGAAAGAGUUAGAUAUAAUGUUCUCAAUUAUACAUGCAAUGAUAGAUACUCAAAUCUCAUAUUCUAUUCUGUAAUCAAUAUUGAUGAUUGUUAGUCCCGUCCCAGUGGUAAAAAUAUAAAUAACGAUACCUGGAAUACUUCCCGGUUAAAAUGCUAC
RNAcentral lists this long non-coding RNA (295 nucleotides) under Sorghum bicolor (sorghum). RNAcentral describes it as "long non-coding RNA (SBIC_LNC002555)". Lineage: Eukaryota; Viridiplantae; Streptophyta; Magnoliopsida; Poales; Poaceae. The record is from RNAcentral.